CACAAUUUCCACGUAGUGAUCCGAUGAAAAUGCACUGCUUUCGAAUAUGUGCAAAAGAACGACAAAUGUCGAGCGAAAAUUUCACACAAACGAUGUCCGAUAGAAAUGUCAAUGAAGAGAUGUGAGGAAAACUUGCGGGAGCUCGUGUGCGUGUAUGUCAAAAUUGUUGUGUGCGUGUUGUCCAAUUGGAAAAUGUCAAAUUGACAGUUGGCUGUUGGCAGAGUUGCAUGCAAUUUGUAAAAAUAAACGAAAUAAGUUUGUGUAAACAGCUUGCGCAAACUUUUGAAAAUAUGCUGUAUAUCUAAAAUAAAUUUUUUUCGAGAUACAUAACAAAACAGAAAGAGAAAAUUAUGGACUCCCCUAGGUAUUUGCAACAAUUUUUGUUUGGUUUUUAGAUUUGAGCAGAUGCUGCAGGAGAUCGGCUACGGGUUCAAAGGGAUCCAAACUUUUGCAAAACGAAAAUGCGUUCUUUCGCCUUGCAAGUGACUUAAAGGUUUAAAUGAAUUUAUAAUAUAUAAACUGCCGGA
Molecule: non-coding RNA, 527 nt
Organism: Bactrocera oleae (olive fruit fly)
Lineage: Eukaryota; Metazoa; Arthropoda; Insecta; Diptera; Tephritidae
Source: RefSeq, a predicted model, not a curated record